UACGAAGGGGGGCUAGCGUUGUUCGGAAUUACUGGGCGUAAAGCGUGCGCAGGCGGCUAUCCAAGUCAGUGGUGAAAGCCCGGAGCUCAACUCCGGAACUGCCAUUGAAACUGUUUAGCUCGAGUACGAGAGAGGUGAGUGGAAUUCCCAGUGUAGAGGUGAAAUUCGUAGAUAUCGGGAGGAACACCUGUGGCGAAAGCGGCUCACUGGACCGCAACUGACGCUGAGGCGCGAAAGCGUGGGGAGCAAACAGGG
RNAcentral lists this ribosomal RNA (255 nucleotides) under uncultured bacterium. RNAcentral describes it as "partial 16S ribosomal RNA". It matches the Rfam family "Bacterial small subunit ribosomal RNA", at positions 524 to 777 of the family's 1533-position model. The record is from RNAcentral.